RNAcentral lists this RNase P RNA (352 nucleotides) under marine eukaryotic metagenome. Its description in RNAcentral is "Bacterial RNase P class A". It matches the Rfam family "Bacterial RNase P class A". From Rfam's summary of the family: Ribonuclease P (RNase P) is a ubiquitous endoribonuclease, found in archaea, bacteria and eukarya as well as chloroplasts and mitochondria. The record is from RNAcentral.
GGCCAAGGCAGUCGCGCCUAUGUUUUUACAUAAGUGAGGAAAGUCCGGGCUCCAAAGGGUAGGGUGCCAGGUAACUCCUGGGAGGCGAAAGCCUACGGCUAGUGCAACAGAAAGUAUACCGCCUGACAUUGUUAGGUAAGGGUGAAAGGGUGCGGUAAGAGCGCACCGCGCAACUGGUAACAGUUGUGGCAAGGUAAACCCCACUUGGAGCAAGACCAAAUAGAGGAACAGUUUGCUUCGGCAGACAAAUGCGACCCGUAUUGUUCCUGGGUAGGUUGCUUGAGGCAAGUAGUGAUGCUUGUCCCAGAUGAAUGAUUGUCCACGACAGAACCCGGCUUAUCGGCCAUCUCAA